This 209-nucleotide small nucleolar RNA is filed under the name Drosophila willistoni. Its description in RNAcentral is "snoRNA:GK26548". Lineage: Eukaryota; Metazoa; Arthropoda; Insecta; Diptera; Drosophilidae. The record is from RNAcentral.
GACUAUAACGCUCCGUUUCAUCCGUUGUAAUCUUAGCUACUGCCUGGAAGCCUGCGGUGCAGUUGGCUGUAAGGCCAGCGGAACAUUAAAUGCCUUACGGACUAGACUGUUAUUUGCUUUCAAGUUUUUCAGUAAAUAAUUUAGGCCACGGCUGACAAAUCUUAAUCUCCCUCUAUUGAAACAUAAGUUAUAGUCCACCCAAUACACAG